AAUACAUGCAAGUCGAACGAGAUCUUCGGAUCUAGUGGCGCACGGGUGCGUAACGCGUGGGAAUCUGCCCUUGGGUUCGGAAUAACUUCUGGAAACGGAAGCUAAUACCGGAUGAUGACGUAAGUCCAAAGAUUUAUCGCCCAAGGAUGAGCCCGCGUAGGAUUAGCUAGUUGGUGAGGUAAAGGCUCACCAAGGCGACGAUCCUUAGCUGGUCUGAGAGGAUGAUCAGCCACACUGGGACUGAGACACGGCCCAGACUCCUACGGAG
RNAcentral lists this ribosomal RNA (268 nucleotides) under Sphingobium yanoikuyae. RNAcentral's name for it is "16S rRNA". It matches the Rfam family "Bacterial small subunit ribosomal RNA", at positions 50 to 347 of the family's 1533-position model. Lineage: Bacteria; Pseudomonadati; Pseudomonadota; Alphaproteobacteria; Sphingomonadales; Sphingobiaceae. The record is from RNAcentral.